Molecule: ribosomal RNA, 444 nt
Filed under: Anthyllis vulneraria
Lineage: Eukaryota; Viridiplantae; Streptophyta; Magnoliopsida; Fabales; Fabaceae
Description: eukaryotic LSU rRNA
Rfam family: Eukaryotic large subunit ribosomal RNA (bases 304-444)
Source: RNAcentral
UGCAGAAUCCCGUGAACCAUCGAGUCUUUGAACGCAAGUUGCGCCCGAAGCCAUUAGGCGGAGGGCACGUCUGCCUGGGUGUCACACAUCGUUGCCCCAACUCCAACCGCUCCGCGCGGCUUGGUGUGCCGGGCGCACGCUGACAUCCCGUGAGGCCCGCCUCGCGGUUUGUUGAAAAUUGAGUCCGUGGCAGGGGUGCUUCCACGAUGGAUGGUGGCUGAGUGAAUUCUCGAAACCAUUCGUGGAAGGCUCUACCGCUGCCGGGCUCCAGCAUCCAAGAUGCGCCUAGCUGCGCUCACAAUGAGACCUCAGGUCAGGCGGGGCUACCCGCUGAGUUUAAGCAUAUCAAUAAGCGGAGGAAAAGAAACUAACAAGGAUUCCCUUAGUAACGGCGAGCGAACCGGGAAGAGCCCACCAUGAGAAUCGGUCGCCCUCGGCGUCUGA